This 774-nucleotide ribosomal RNA is filed under the name uncultured Glomus. RNAcentral's name for it is "SSU rRNA". It matches the Rfam family "Eukaryotic small subunit ribosomal RNA", at positions 338 to 1114 of the family's 1831-position model. The record is from RNAcentral. Lineage: Eukaryota; Fungi; Glomeromycota; Glomeromycetes; Glomerales; Glomeraceae.
GGCCUACCAUGGUGGUAACGGGUAACGGGGUGUUAGGGCACGACACCGGAGAGGGAGCCUGAGAAACGGCUACCACAUCCAAGGAUGGCAGCAGGCGCGCAAAUUACCCAAUCCCGACACGGGGAGGUAGUGACAAUAAAUAACAAUACGGGGUCCUUUCGGGUUUCGUAAUUGGAAUGAGUACAAUUUAAAUCUCUUAAUGAGGAACAAUUGGAGGGCAAGUCUGGUGCCAGCAGCCGCGGUAAUUCCAGCUCCAAUAGCGUAUAUUAAAGUUGUUGCAGUUAAAAAGCUCGUAGUUGAAUUUCGGGAUUAGUGCGCCGGUCGUGCCUUCGGUAUGUACUGGUGUUACUGGUUCCUACCUUCUGACGAACCGUCAUGUCAUUAAUUUGGUGUGGCGGGAAAUCAGGACUGUUACUUUGAAAAAAUUAGAGUGUUUAAAGCAAGCUAACGCUUGAAUACAUUAGCAUGGAAUAAUGAAAUAGGACGUUCGAUCUUAUUUUGUUGGUUUCUAGGAUUGACGUAAUGAUUAAUAGGGAUAGUUGGGGCAUUAGUAUUCAAUUGUCAGAGGUGAAAUUCUUGGAUUUAUUGAAGACUAACUACUGCGAAAGCAUUUGCCAAGGAUGUUUUCAUUAAUCAAGAACGAAAGUUAGGGGAUCGAAGACGAUCAGAUACCGUCGUAGUCUUAACCAUAAACUAUGCCGACUAGGGAUCGGAUGAUGUUAAUUUUUUAAUGACUCAUUCGGCGCCUUACGGGAAACCAAAGUGUUUGGGUUC